UACGGAGGAUGCAAGCGUUAUCCGGAAUCAUUGGGCGUAAAGCGUCCGCAGGUGGUAGUUCAAGUCUGCUGUUAAAGGCUGAAGCUUAACUUCAGAAAGGCAGUGGAAACUGAACAACUAGAGGUCAGUAGGGGUAGCAGGAAUUCCCAGUGUAGCGGUGAAAUGCGUAGAGAUUGGGAAGAACAUCGGUGGCGAAAGCGUGCUACUGGGCUGAAUCUGACACUGAGGGACGAAAGCUAGGGGAGCAAAAGGG
This 253-nucleotide ribosomal RNA is filed under the name uncultured bacterium. Its description in RNAcentral is "partial 16S ribosomal RNA". It matches the Rfam family "Bacterial small subunit ribosomal RNA", at positions 524 to 776 of the family's 1533-position model. The record is from RNAcentral.